Molecule: ribosomal RNA, 468 nt
Filed under: uncultured bacterium
Lineage: Bacteria
Description: partial 16S ribosomal RNA
Rfam family: Bacterial small subunit ribosomal RNA
Source: RNAcentral
GACGAACGCUGGCGGCGUGCUUAACACAUGCAAGUCGAACGGCAAGGCCCUGCUUUUGUGGGGUGCUCGAGUGGCGAACGGGUGAGUAACACGUGAGUAACCUGCCCUUGACUUUGGGAUAACGUCAGGAAACUGGGGCUAAUACAGGAUAGGAGCUCCUGCUGCAUGGUGGGGGAUGGAAAGUUUCGGCGGGUGGGGAUGGACUGGGGGCUUAUCAGCUUGUUGGUGGGGUAGUGGCUUACCAAGGCUUUGACGGAUAGCCGGCAUGGGGGGGUGACCGGCGCCAAGGGGCCUGCGAGACGCAGCAGACGCGUAUGGGAGGCAGCGGGGGGGAAUAUUGCACAAUGGGGGGACGCCUGAGGCGGAGGCGUCGGGGGCGGGAUGACGGCUUGUGGGUUAAGAAACGCUUUCGGCUGUGACGCAGCGUGAGUGACGGUAAUGGGUAAAGAAGCACCGGCUAACUACGUG